Long non-coding RNA from Phyllostomus hastatus (greater spear-nosed bat), 424 nucleotides. RefSeq lists it as uncharacterized. Lineage: Eukaryota; Metazoa; Chordata; Mammalia; Chiroptera; Phyllostomidae. The transcript is spliced from 2 exons. The record is from RefSeq and is a predicted model, not a curated record.
AAAGCCCUCCCAGUGGUUACCUCCGGGAGCUCUCCUUCCCUCCCCGGGCUCCCCCGUCUGGCUCCCCGUGUUUACACAGACACACGCAGCAACUAGGGAACGACACUGAACGGCACCGAGGCCUGUGCACAUGUGAGGGCCGUUGGAAAGCUGCACCCAAGGAUCAGCCAGCCAGCCGGCCUCAGUGCCAAUGUAGGUGUCCCGGCCCAACGACGGUGCUGCAGCCCGGGAGGCCCACGGGCGCCUUUGGGGGGGCCCAGGCCUGAAUGCUGGGCUCAAGGGGACGGGACCUCUGGGAGCCCGGACCUGAAGAUGUGCCGACACUGGUCGGCCAGAGGGGGUCACAUACGAGGAGGACGCAAGGGCUGAGCAUGGCGUUUAUUACAUCUGCUUCAGGAAAAAUAAAUAACGCUUCGCACACCUU